This 497-nucleotide ribosomal RNA is filed under the name uncultured bacterium. RNAcentral's name for it is "partial 16S ribosomal RNA". It matches the Rfam family "Bacterial small subunit ribosomal RNA", at positions 28 to 507 of the family's 1533-position model. The record is from RNAcentral.
GAUGAACGCUGGCGGCGUGCCUAAUACAUGCAAGUCGAGCGAACGGACGAGAAGCUUGCUUCUCUGAUGUUAGCGGCGGACGGGUGAGUAACACGUGGAUAACCUACCUAUAAGACUGGGAUAACUUCGGGAAACCGGAGCUAAUACCGGAUGAUAUUUUGAACCGCAUGGUUCAAAAGUGAAAGACGGUCUUGCUGUCACUUAUCGAUGGAUCCGCGCUGCAUUAGCUAGUUGGUACGGUAACGGCUUACCAAGGCAACGAUGCAUAGCCGACCUGAGAGGCUGGUAGGCCACACUGGAACGGAGACACGGUCCAGACUCCUACGGGAGGCAGCAGUAGGGAAUCGGCCGCAAUGGGCGAAAGCCUGACGGAGCAACGCCGCGUGAGUGAUGAAGGUCUUCGGAUCGUAAAACUCUGUUAUUAGGGAAGAACAUAUGUGUAAGUAACUGUGCACAUCUUGACGGUACCUGAUCAGAAAGCCACGGCUAACUACGUG